This 450-nucleotide ribosomal RNA is filed under the name uncultured bacterium. RNAcentral describes it as "bacterial SSU rRNA". It matches the Rfam family "Bacterial small subunit ribosomal RNA", at positions 354 to 796 of the family's 1533-position model. The record is from RNAcentral.
GUGGGGAAUAUUGGACAAUGGGCGCAAGCCUGAUCCAGCCAUGCCGCGUGUGUGAAGAAGGUCUUCGGAUUGUAAAGCACUUUAAGUUGGGAGGAAGGGCAGUAAGUUAAUACCUUGCUGUUUUGACGUUACCGACAGAAUAAGCACCGGCUAACUUCGUGCCAGCAGCCGCGGUAAUACGAAGGGUGCAAGCGUUAAUCGGAAUUACUGGGCGUAAAGCGCGCGUAGGUGGUUUUGUAAGUUGGAGGUGAAAUCCCCGGGCUCAACCUGGGAACUGCCUCCAAAACUGCAUGACUAGAGUACGGUAGAGGGUAGUGGAAUUUCCUGUGUAGCGGUGAAAUGCGUAGAUAUAGGAAGGAACACCAGUGGCGAAGGCGACUACCUGGACUGAUACUGACACUGAGGUGCGAAAGCGUGGGGAGCAAACAGGAUUAGAUACCCUAGUAGUCC